Non-coding RNA from Lolium perenne, 901 nucleotides. Lineage: Eukaryota; Viridiplantae; Streptophyta; Magnoliopsida; Poales; Poaceae. The record is from RefSeq and is a predicted model, not a curated record.
AUUUGAAUGGCCCCUACAAACUAGGGUUCCGGCCAUCGCUGACGCCGACCACCGUGGCGCAGCUGGUCGAUCUCCGGCCAAGAUGAUCCGCAGACAUGAAGGUUUCGGAGGGCCGCGGCCCAGCCGGUCAAGUACUGGGCCGAGGCAGAUGCGGUGUCGCCGGCGGUUGCCGCGACCGCGGGGACGAAGCUGCAGGUCCUCUGAACAACGACAACGGACUCCUCUGAGCAGAAGGUUCUGAGGCGGCUGAAGAAGGUGUGCCAUGAAUCGCAGCAGGAUAAUAAGCGUCCCGCAGACUCUGAGCAUUUUUCAGUCCCUCCGAUCCAUACUAGGCAUAUGAAGUCAAAUUGUGCCUCAACUUUUGAUGAAGAAAAAGAGGACAUGAUUCCCAUCUCCUGGAGGAUUAAGCGGCGCCACCUGGAAACUAAACACGAAGAUGCCAGCUACGAAGUGAAGCCGAAGGUGUAUCCGUCUACCAGCAGUUGUUCCCAGCAAGAGUUUGGGGAAGCAACUAGAGAUUCAGCUUCAGUGGUUGAGCAGCAGGGCAGCUCAGGUUAGAGAUUUGCAAGCGAUGACAAGCCACCUGGGUAUUGGCACACGUAUUAGGGUGCGGCUACACACAGGUGGUAACCUCAACAGAUAGAAUUUUUUGUCUAGGCUUUGAGUCACCGGUUGCUACUCUUUGAUGCCUGCAUUGCCUGUGAUGGAACUGGGCCUCACUACCUUCCAUUCUGCAAGUCCUUAUUUCUUUUGUUUAGGAGCUGUAAAUCUCUCAGUAUCUUCUUGUUUUUAUCAUCAACAAGAGCGGCAUUAGCUGCUGCUAACUGUAUUCUUUCAUACGCUUGUCGAUUCAAGUAUCCUUGGCUUACCUGCUUCUGAAAUAUUCAAUCAAUUGAGAAAA